RNAcentral lists this long non-coding RNA (1138 nucleotides) under Zea mays. RNAcentral describes it as "uncharacterized LOC100275386 (LOC100275386)". The record is from RNAcentral. Lineage: Eukaryota; Viridiplantae; Streptophyta; Magnoliopsida; Poales; Poaceae.
UCUCCAGCCGUCGUUCACGCCGCUCACCACGAGCCUUGCUUCUUCACGUCACCUCCUUCUCACACAUUUUCCCUCUCACCUCUCAAUCCAUGGACACCCUCCCUGCUCUGAUCCCCCCCGAUGCUCGCCGUGGGUGCCGUUUGCUGCCCCAACGCCGUUCCGCGCCCCCUCCACUCCGGCCAUGAGCUCCUCCCAGUGAAUCCCUCUAGUCCCCUGCUCAUCUCCCAUGGUGGCCGCAGGGAGCUCUGGAUCCAUGGCCGUCGGCCUCUGGGCGUGAGCAGCCCUUGGCUCUCUCCCCUGCGACAGACUUCCUCCACGGUGUCUCUUUCCCCAACCAUGGUGGCCGGCUCCCUGCUCCUCCAUUCGGUGCCCCUGGUUUAGGGCCGGUCGACCUCCGGCGACCUCCUCCCCAUGGCACAGCAGGCCGACGCCCCUGCCUCUACUCCAUCUUCCCCAUUGGACAGCACGAGCUCCUCCUCGCCGAUACGCCAGCAACCCUGCAGCAGCGCCACUCGAUCUCCUCUAUACGUGAACAACAGCAACCCGGAUCCCAUCCACGUCGUAUGCGUCGAUCCGAUCUGUGCAGUCCCAACCCACGACGUCGCAACACCCUUGCCCUCCGUCGAUGUCACGCUUCGCUCAUCGCUCCUCGACGAAGAGCCAUAACCGUGGUAGACAUGCAUGCGCGAUCCGAACUGAUUUCAUCAGGUAUGUUAAUUGAUCACGUGCUAUGGAAGACGAGUGGAAUUGAUCUCCAAGUGAUGCUGAUGGACGAAGCUAAAAUGGAUGAAUCAACCAAGUGCCAGGAUGGAAGAUGCUCACCAAGUGGUCGUCAAUUAACAACACUAACGUAGUGUUUAUCCCAGGUUGUAAUUUUGUUCUGUUGUGGAUGGUGCUAAGUGCCGGUGGGCUCGGCCUUCUUAUAUAAGUAUAUCCCAUCUUUAGCUUCCCUAUUGAGGAUUGUCACUUAAGCUAGCAUGUAUUUUAAAACUUAUAAAUGUUUUAUACAUUCAAAUUGUAAUCUUUUUGAAUCAAUUUCUUUUGUAAUCACCUCCGAUGAUAUAUAUUGUAAUCUUGUUAUAACUUGUAAAUGUUGUAACUUGUAAUCAUUUUGUAAUAAAGAAUUUAUUUCCGCUGC